RNAcentral lists this long non-coding RNA (788 nucleotides) under Lathyrus oleraceus (garden pea). RNAcentral describes it as "Pisum sativum (pea) long non-coding RNA (PSAT_LNC013398)". The record is from RNAcentral. Lineage: Eukaryota; Viridiplantae; Streptophyta; Magnoliopsida; Fabales; Fabaceae.
GAAUAUUAUACAUUUCAUGGGAGAGGGAUACAUUUGUUAUGAAUGGGGGUUGUCAUGGCAAUCAAACAAUAUAAAUAUAUGCCUCAUACAUCAUACAAGUAGGCAACAAUCAAACAAUAAGAUAUUUAAACAAGUAUAUGAUCAAAUCAAAUAAUCAAAGAAAUGAAAUGAAUGAGCAUUAAACAACGUAUGGGUGUAAGUGUAAGGGAACCGGCUCAUUGUAAGAAAGCCCAAGAGUAAGCUAUGUGAGGUUGAUGGCGAUGCUUAAAAAGCAAUCGACUUACAAGGGGCGUAAAAAAUGGGCUCGAUAUUAAAUCAAGAAAAGUGUGAUUUUUAUAGUUUGAAAAAAAAGGUUUUUGAACUAAAUUCAAAUACAAUAACUACGCAUUAUUAACACAUGAAAUUAUAAUAAGCAUAAAAAGAGAUAUUAACAAAAUACUACAAGAAUAAAAAAAUGCUAAAGGAAAAUAAAAUCAAAUAAAAAGCAAAAAGUGUCACACAUGAGUAUUGAACCCUCCCCACCUAAUAUUAUGCAACUGCCCUCUCUCCACUAGGCCACUCAACAAUAUCUGCUAUUAAGAUACUACCCAAAAUAUAUGAACUGGAAUAAAAAUUUAAAAUAAAACAAAACAAAGAUUUCGUGGUUUUUAUAUUAUUUCUGUAAAAAAACAAAUUUAAUUUUAAAAAAAAAAUUAAUUAAUUAAAAAAAAACAGAAAGGAAAUGGAGAGUGAAGGCACAGAAGCUCGUCUUCUCCAAUCUUCCAAAACGUUCCUCUCUCUAGAGACAU